GACCGCGUAGCUCAGUUGGAAGAGCAUUGGGCUGGUAUUCCAAAGGUCGUAGGUUCGAAUCCCACCGUGGCUG
Molecule: transfer RNA, 73 nt
Filed under: Paramuricea clavata
Lineage: Eukaryota; Metazoa; Cnidaria; Anthozoa; Malacalcyonacea; Plexauridae
Rfam family: tRNA
About the family: Transfer RNA (tRNA) molecules are approximately 80 nucleotides in length. Their secondary structure includes four short double-helical elements and three loops (D, anti-codon, and T loops).
Source: Rfam by way of RNAcentral